UCCCGACUCUCAGCACACAUCGUUACGGUGACAAAUAUAUUUGGGUUUCCAUGUUGUACCUACAUUUUUAAACUAUUACAAGAGGUGGUUACAUCACGUGCGGUUAUGAUGAGGACGACAACAUCUAAUGCUGGCUUCAACUUGGCUUUGUAUACAAAGCCUUCCAUUACAAAAGGAACCUAAAAAAACAGCCAUGGUGAGAUUCAAAUGUUGAUUGGACGCCGUAUCCCUUGGUGAGGCGAUAGACGACGCCCACGCUGCACCCAUCAAUCUCCAGUGACGUCCCUUUGUCACACGCACCGCCAGCCACCGCCCACCCGAGCCACACAGCCAAUGAAAAUACAGCUUAGGUGAGAUGACAGAUGAAGUCCUAAUUGGGUUUUUCAAGAGGCUCCGGGCUGAGGCGUAUCAAAAGGUCCUGAUUCCUUUGUCUUCUCCUCGACCUGAGCCACCUGUGUGGACUGUAGUCUAAACGGUCUUUCCCAGGGUCUGUGCUUCUCUUUGCUAUUCCCUCUCCCAGGGCUGAGCUUGUCUUUCAUUACGUGGACCUGACACUGUCUGGAGGAGCCCACGUCUGUUUGUCACCGUCUAAUAGGGCCUAGCAAUCUACAAGGUGCACAUACACCUCCGAGUCUGUGUCUCUCUCUGGCAGUGGAGGAAGAGACCAAUCACGCUGUCGUACUUGCUUCAGUCUGGGGUACAGUUUCACUUGGUGUCUACGUCAAUGGUGGGGAUUGAAACAGACACCUAUGGACAAAUUCUGCCUAUGACUUACUGGACAGGAAUUGACCAAAGCUCACUAGGGUCUAGGAUGCUAGGUUGCUACCACUAGCCCCUAUCACUUCCAUUAGAAGCUAGUCUUCAGGUAUGGGUAAAUCAGGGUUAAUUGUUUCCCUGGUCUGUCUCUCCUGCUACAUUCAGUAGUGUUGCCUGGGUGGAUUUGCUCGAACACCAUUGUUCAACCUUCCCAAGUUCUCCCAUGUAGCCCCGCUCCUCCGCCGACUCCACUGGCUUCCAGUAGAACCUUGCAUCCACUACAAGACCAUGGUGCUUACCUACGGAGCAGCAAGAGGAACUUCCCCCUCCCGACCUUCAAACCCUACAAUCCCAACCCGAGCACUCCGUUCUGCCACCUCUGGUCUCUUGGCCGUCAUUUCGUAAUUGACUGGGCUGAGCUCCCACUCAGCCCAGUCACAGCUCUUCUCUGUCCUGGCACCCCAAUGGUGGAACCAGCUUCCCACUGAAGCUAGGACAGCAGAGUCCCUGCACAUCUUCCAAACACAUCUGAAACCCUACCUCUUCAUAGAGUAUCUUAAAUAAGACAUCUCAGGUUUAUUCAGAUGUCAUUGAGGACAACAUUACUAUGACUGUGAUGUGUGGUUGUCCUGCUAUCUUAAGAUGAAUGGACCAACUGUAAGUCAAUCUGGAUAAGAGAGUCUGCUAAAUAACUCCAUGUCAAAAUAUGAAAUGAGAUGGAAGGGAAAAUAAAGAUGCAGUAGAAGAGGGAGAUGGGAUGGAGAAAGAGGAUGUCAACGGGUGGAAAGAAAAAGGGUUGAGAGGGAUGAAGAGAAUAAAGGAAGAUAAUAAAUAGCCUGGUCUAAACCCUCUCAUUUCUGUCUCUCUGUGUGCCUGUCUGUCAGCAUCCUCUAGAUCGUCACAAUGCCAGGCCUACCCAGCACAGAGCAGCAAUAUUUUAUGAAUCUAUCGCUGCCUUAAUUUGACCCCCCCCCCCCAUCUUUAACCCAUGGAGGAAAUGAAAGAUGGAGAGAAUCAGAGGGAGGGGAGGACAAAAGGAAUCUGCAGAGGAGGUUUGAACAGGGAGUGGGAGUUGAGAAACCUGCUUCUGUGUGAGGAUGAUGAAAGGUGAAAAAGUCUGAUAGAUCUUUCUAAUUUAAAUGCACCCGUGUGUGUGUGUGUGU
Molecule: long non-coding RNA, 1919 nt
Organism: Oncorhynchus tshawytscha (Chinook salmon)
Lineage: Eukaryota; Metazoa; Chordata; Actinopteri; Salmoniformes; Salmonidae
Exons: 4
Source: RefSeq, a predicted model, not a curated record